GAAGCUUCUCUGCCAGUUCGAACUGAUUACAACAAGAUCAGAACCAAUAAAAUUAGAAUAUUUUACUUAAAACAUAUGCAAGUAUGAAAAUCUUCAAUGAAAUAACUCUUUCCCAAAAUGAUUUUACACUACAUAAGGAUAUAUUCAAAGGAUUGCAACAGUUAAAGAUACAAAAAUAUUUAUCAGGCAGUAUGCUUCCCAGAGAAAUAUUAUGACUUGUAUGAUAUGCUUUGAUUUAACUGGUUUGCACAAAAUGAACUCACUAAAUAUAGCAUACAGAUAUAUAAUAUGAGAGUAAGACACAUACUAACUCAAGAUGCCUACACAGAAUACUUACCACCCGGCCCAUAGAUCAUAAAUCAUACACAAAACCACAUAAAAGUUAUUGUCCUUGAGCAAUUGACUGUAUAAACAAAGUAUUACCAGCUUUGGCAAAGCAAUUUCAUUAUAAUAUCCAUAUGCCAUUUGAAUAAGCUCAUCCACUGACUGUUGCAAGAAGUAAAUCCAACAGAUAAGCAGAAAAAAUUUGGUGCUGCAAGAACAACAGGAAGGGACAGAAACAAGCAGAAAAUUUAUAAGGAAAAAGAGACUUUCAAAAACCUUUAAAUGAAGGCCAAUUCCAGAUUCUUUCAGACAGAAGAAGGCUUCUUCAGAAAUCAAUUCCUUC
This 667-nucleotide unclassified non-coding RNA is filed under the name Hevea brasiliensis (rubber tree). The record is from RNAcentral. Lineage: Eukaryota; Viridiplantae; Streptophyta; Magnoliopsida; Malpighiales; Euphorbiaceae.